UGCAAGGUAUUGAGAUCCGAUCUCAAUUUUUUUAUUUUAAUUUUUAGAUUACAUGUAUGUCUUUGAUUCAGGGCUCAGGUAGAUAUAGAUUAGAUCCAUUGCACGUGGAGUUAAAGGGUUUAACUUAGAUUCAUUUUUGCUGCUAUUCAAAAUUAUUUUGAAAUCUAUGCAUGCAACCCUAUCCAUUUUCUAACACAUCGAUCUCUA
This 207-nucleotide long non-coding RNA is filed under the name Elaeis guineensis (African oil palm). RNAcentral's name for it is "long non-coding RNA (EGUI_LNC065672)". Lineage: Eukaryota; Viridiplantae; Streptophyta; Magnoliopsida; Arecales; Arecaceae. The record is from RNAcentral.